UAAUACGUAGGUGGCAAGCGUUGUCCGGAUUUACUGGGCGUAAAGCGCGCGCAGGCGGUGAAUGAAGUCGAAAGUGAAAGCCCCGGGCUCAACUCGGGAACUGCUUUCGAAACCAGUUCACUUGAAGGCGGAAGAGGGAAGUGGAAUUCCGAGUGUAGUGGUGGAAUGCGUAGAUAUUCGGAAGAACACCAGAGGCGAAGGCGACUUCCUGGUCCGAUCUUGACGCUGAGGCGCGAAAGCUAGGGGAGCAAACGGGAUUAGAUACCCCGGUAGUCCUAGCUGUAAACGAUGGAUACUAGGUGUUGGAGGUUUUAACCCCUCCGGUGCCGCAGCUAACGCAUUAAGUAUCCCGCCUGGGGAGUACGGCCGCAAGGCUAAACUCAAAGGAAUUGACGGGGCCCCGCACAAGCAGCGGAGCGUGGGGUUUAAUUCGAUGCAACGCGAAAACCUUACCUACCCUUGACAUGCCACUAACGAAGUAGAGAUACAUUAGGUGCCCGUAAGGGAAAGUGGACACAGGUGCUGCAUGGCUGUC
RNAcentral lists this ribosomal RNA (535 nucleotides) under uncultured Cupriavidus sp. RNAcentral describes it as "bacterial SSU rRNA". It matches the Rfam family "Bacterial small subunit ribosomal RNA", at positions 521 to 1053 of the family's 1533-position model. The record is from RNAcentral. Lineage: Bacteria; Pseudomonadati; Pseudomonadota; Betaproteobacteria; Burkholderiales; Burkholderiaceae.